This is a non-coding RNA of Aegilops tauschii subsp. strangulata, 2657 nucleotides long. The record is from RefSeq and is a predicted model, not a curated record. NCBI's taxonomy places the organism in Eukaryota, Viridiplantae, Streptophyta, Magnoliopsida, Poales, Poaceae.
UCUACUAGCGUGAAAUCUACACAUAACAGAGAUCCUAAGCAUUGGAAUUGUUUACUGUCCAGAAAUCAUUUUUGUGGUACUCAUAUUUGUAUUGUUGAAUUCUGUGUUUGUUUUUCCGCGAAGGUUGUAUCACCUAUAGCAUAGCUUACAAGUUAUUCACCUAUAGCAUAGCCUACAAGUUAUUCAUCUCAUGUCGUAGAUCAUCUGCUUGUAAGAGGUCAUGAGGUUUCAAAAUUUAUUGAGCCUUGAAUAUUUUAUAAAUGGCACCUGCAGAACGUCUAAACGAAUUUGCAAGUGUGUACAUUGGAGGUUGAUUUUGGAAUGGGUAUAUGUUUUGCCUUGCAUGUUUCCCUUUUGAUUAGUUACUUUCAUUGCCUCCUUAACAAUCGUUUCCGCUUUUCUUUACUUAAAACUGUUUCUCCACUCUAGGUGGAAGGAUCUGUGGUAGGUGUACAUAGUUUAGUCAUCUGGCCUAGUAAGCUCAAUCUACACCUCAACACUUUUUAUGAAUUUAGGAUUUCUUUUAUGUAAUCUGCCCAAGUGAGCUCAGAUGGCUGAGCAAUGAUAGAUCCGGCUGGAAGGUGCCAAGCGUAUGAGCUUAUUGUGUGAUAAAGUGUGGUUAAAACAUUUACCUAUUUUAAUCCGUUACUUUAGUUUUUGCUUCUCAAGUUUUGUAUUUGUUGCGCAAAAAUAAUGGUCUCAUAUACAAUAGCCUACAGGUAUUUGAUUGCAUAUAUCUGUGUGUGUUUGACUUAAAAGCUCAGAUAGUUCUUUUAUUUCUGCAGGGGAAAUUGCGAUGCUUAUUACGAAUUGUUGCAAGAAAGUAUUUCAUCUGUUUUGGUGUAAGGAUGCUGCUUUUUAGUAUGAUACCCAUAUCUUAGUGGCUUGGAGCAGCAAGCAUAAAAAAAUACUAGCAUUCCUAAAUGGGCAUCCAAUUUUAGAAAGCACACUUAAGAAACAUGCACACGUGUCUUUAGAUCCUAUGGAGCAUUCCUAAUAAUGACCAUCUAUUUAACUAUCUUGGAUCAUUACCAUUAAAAAAUACAGCAUGGCAUUCAUAAUGUUCAGUUAUUCAUAAAUGUGGCAUUUAAUUCUUCUCCUGGCAUGAUAUUUAAGCAUGUUGCAUAUACCAAUCUGUUGAUAAUUCAAUUAUUGAUUCUGAUGUACAAACAGGCAAAACCAUUGCCUGUUUGGAUGAUCCACAUGAGUAUGUUUUUGUUAGUUUUCGGUGAUGUACGUCGUGAAGCGGGACGGGCAGACGGAGACGGUGCACUUCGACAAGAUCACGGUGCGGCUCAAGAAGCUCAGCUAUGGGCUCAUCCAGGAGCACCGUGACCCCGUGCUCGUCGCGCAGAAGGUCUGCGUAGAAUGUCUGCGUCAGGGUAUACAUGGGCGUCACCACCAGCCAGCUCGACGAGCUCGCCGCCGAGACCGUCGCCGAGCUCACCGCCUCCCAGCCUGACUAUGCCUCCCUCGCGGCGAGGAUUGCUGUGUCUAACCUGCCGCCAAGUGGAAAUAGUCUGUGUGGCGCCCGUAAAUAGAGAACAUUUUGGUAGAAAGGUACAGGAAAGAAUAGGGAAACUUCUGUCAUUUUCUUUGGUCUUUGGAAAAUAAAUGGUGAUAUGGGCUGAUACAUUGCUAAAUUACAUGAUACGGACUCACUUCUCUUUUUUGAUUUUCGGUUUACUUCGUUGUGCUACAAUGGCUCUCCUAGGAAUGUUCUUCCAUGAUUUGAUGUGCACAAUCCAGAAAGUGCAUGCAUCCAGAAACCAAAUAGGAUUUUUUAUGAGUUAUCUUCUCAUAAAUCUUGUGCUCGUCCAAUAAGAAUAAGGUUUGGUCGUGUUGCUUUUGUCUGUCACCCGGUAGAUUUCAGACUUCAAGCUAGCUGCAGUUAUUUCAGGUUAUAUGUGCAAAUCCUUGGUGUGACAUAAUUGGUAACUGACCAUGAAUACGUUGCAAUCUGGUAUGUCUAAUUCUUGAUUUAUGUGGUACCAUGGUCUAAAAAUUGGUCCUAAAGAUACAUGAUGUUUUUGUACAAAGUUGAGACCGUUAUUUUGGAACGGAGGGAGUAUCAGAUUACUUUGUUCCUUUUUAAUUUGGUUCUAAAGAUAUAAUUUUAGAGUGAUCGUUUUGCAUCAGCCAAGCUUGCCGUUAUUACAAAUAAUUGUUCUAUUGUCCUCAAUUCACUUUCUUGGUUUUUUAAUGCUACGAGCAUUAUUGUUCCAGUUCUUUUUAGUUAUUGAUCAUGCCAUUUUUCUUUCUGCCUUUGUAGCUGAAAGAUUAGUGAGACUGACUGAAUUCUGAACAUGUUUCAUGUGAGAGAAAUAGCAUGUUGAUUUCAUCUUGAAAUAAUCAUAGCUGAGGGACGAGGUUCGUAACUGAGGGUCAUCUGCAGAGCUGGAGAAAGAAGUUGCGAGGCUUGGAACUCUCCUUGUGAAGGGCUCAGGACAACAGUGAGGAUAAUGCCUCUUUAGUUGUAAUUGUGAUACUCCUGAUGUGCAAGUAAACACUCCUGUGAUACUCCUUAUGCUAAAAUGUUGGUUGUUAGUAUAGAGGUGGUGACAUUAUUUGGUUUUUUGGUAUUGAUUUCAUGAUUUGUGGUUAAUACCUGAUGUAAUACAAUCCACAUUGCAUUAUAUUUCCAGUUACAUUUCCUA